This 254-nucleotide ribosomal RNA is filed under the name uncultured bacterium. Its description in RNAcentral is "partial 16S ribosomal RNA". It matches the Rfam family "Bacterial small subunit ribosomal RNA", at positions 524 to 776 of the family's 1533-position model. The record is from RNAcentral.
UACGAAGGGGGCUAGCGUUGUUCGGAAUUACUGGGCGUAAAGCGCGCGCAGGCGGUCUUCCAAGUCAGUGGUGAAAGCCCGGAGCUCAACUCCGGAACUGCCAUUGAAACUGUGAGACUUGAGUACGAGGGAGGUGAGUGGAAUUCCCAGUGUAGAGGUGAAAUUCGUAGAUAUUGGGAAGAACACCGGUGGCGAAGGUGGCUCACUGGCUCGUAACUGACGCUCAGGCGCGACAGCGUGGGGAUCGAAACAGG